GAUGAACGCUGGCGGCGUGCCUAAUACAUGCAAGUCGAGCGAACGGACGAGAAGCUUGCUUCUCUGAUGUUAGCGGCGGACGGGUGAGUAACACGUGGAUAACCUACCUAUAAGACUGGGAUAACUUCGGGAAACCGGAGCUAAUACCGGAUAAUAUUUUGAACCGCAUGUUUAAAAGGUAAAAAACGUCUUGCUGUUAACUAAUAGUGGAUUCCGCGCUGCUUUAGCUAGUUGGUAAGUUAACGGCUUACCAAGGCAACGAUGCAUAGCCGACCUGAGAGGGUGAUCGGCCACACAGGAACUGAGACACGGUCAGACUCCUACGGGAGGCAGCAGUAGGGAAUCUUCCGCAAUGGGCGAAAGCCUGACGGAGCAACGCCGCGUGAGUGAUGAAGGUCUUCGGAUCGUAAAACUCUGUUAUUAGGGAAGAACAUAUGUGUAAGUAACUGUGCACAUCUUGACGGUACCUAAUCAGAAAGCCACGGCUAACUACGUG
This 496-nucleotide ribosomal RNA is filed under the name uncultured bacterium. RNAcentral's name for it is "partial 16S ribosomal RNA". It matches the Rfam family "Bacterial small subunit ribosomal RNA", at positions 28 to 507 of the family's 1533-position model. The record is from RNAcentral.